This 107-nucleotide small nuclear RNA is filed under the name Colobus angolensis palliatus. The record is from RNAcentral. Lineage: Eukaryota; Metazoa; Chordata; Mammalia; Primates; Cercopithecidae.
GUGCUCCCUUUGGCAGCACAUAUACUAAAAUUGGAAUGAUACAGAGAAAAUUAGCAUGGCCUCUGAGCAAGAAUAACACACAAAUUCAUGAAGCAUUCCUUAUAUAA